UGGCCAACAUGUGUCUUUGCCAUCCAUUUUUUUUUAAUUUUUAUCUUAUCUUAAUAUUGUUUAGUAGCUCGGUCACUAAAGCCCGGUUACUAACUCGGUCAUUUUAUUAUUAGUUGUCUCUUGGAGGUACAAAUUUUAUGUCAUAGGAGUACUGGAUGGAUAAUGGGAAUUUUCCCCAUCUUGAGUUCUUGGUUAAAUGGGUAUUUACAGGGAUAGUUAGGGAAUUUUUUUUAAAAUCUUUGAUUUAUGGUUUUGCAUGGGUCGCGAACCAUGGCCAUAAAGCUUAUAUAGUCACAUAACUGUUUCAGGGUUUUAGCGUGGGUUCAGGAUUGAUCACCCUGGACUUGUGCACUCCACUUGGCUCAGAAAUAUAUUAAUACCUAUCAGUUGUUCCUUGAGUGUCUCUUAGGCUGAAAUUAGAAUGUGUCAUUUAGAAUUGGAUCGUUCUAAUACUCGGCAGUAAGUAAGUCCAUUUGACUUCGAUGUCAUCUCCUAUACUAUUAUUUAUUUUAAACGAUUCGAGUUUAAUAUACCUCAUUACCUGAAGUUGUUUACCUCUCUCUCCACCACCUGCUUGGAUGUGAGUAUGUGAGUUACCUUAUUUGUCUCUCUAAUGAGCAUUAUGCUAGUAGAUGUUCUUCUGCCUUAAAUAUGAAAAGGUAGAUGUGAGUUUAUCGUUAUCUUUACCUGAAUUGACGUUAUCUUUACCUUUAUCUUGGGUUCAUGUUGUACCUUUACCUUGAUGAGUUUGUCACUUAUCUAUAUCUUGAUUGAGUAUACCUCUUACCUUUAUCUUGUGUAUAGAGUCCUAAGAAUCUGUCCUUCACUGUCUUUGUCGUGAGUGUGGAAUUGGACCACGUAAAUAGUACAGUUUAGGUAUUACAAUUAGGACAUUUAAUGUCUUUUACCUUUGUGCAGACCCUCUACCAAGAGUAGAUGCGGGCUUGCCAGUAUCUUUACCUUUUUGCAUACCCUAUACCAUGAGUAUAGUGGCAUUGCUAGGGUCUUUACCUUAUUAUGUCUUCCUACUGCUAUGAAAGCUAGUAGAGAUGUUAUGGAUUAUUUUUACCUUGAAUUUUCUAUGUUCUUGAUAUCCAGAACCACAUCUUAUAUGUUUAGGUUUCUAGUAAUAUAGUUUUAACUAGUCCUAAUAAAUUAGGCCCUCAGUGAACUCUUGGGUGAUUAAUAGAAUCUGGUCAUUCUGGUGUCAUUGUUGGGUAUAUUGAUAGGAUUCGUUUUAGGUUAGUUGUUGUAAAUGGUUCUUGGUAGUAGUAUUUUAAAGGGUUGUUAAUAUACAACCAUAAUGUAGUUUUAAUGAGGUUUAUACUAACACUUGAGAAUGGAUGAUAAGUAGUGUAAAUAGUUAACUUUCUCUAUAAGAUUAUAGUAUUGUAGUUAAAACGUAGGUGAUUAAGAUGUAAUUUAUUUUUUUUUCUUUUUGUAUCUUCUUCCUUUCUUAACCUGUAGUCCUACUAAAUUAAAUUACAUUAUCUCGUUUGAUAACUCUGGUCAGUUACACAUCCCCUCUCUGUUAUGUCUUAUGAAAAACGUAAUUCAAUGUAUCUCGCGUAUUCUCUAUCUCUCUCUUACUGCGUCAUUGAUUUCGGUCCGGUCUCUCCUCUGCCAAUGGUUUAGGUGGUAAAAUCAACAUCAUGUCAUCCCUGAAGAAAACAAAAAAAAAAAGGAGACUUCUGGAAGUUUUCCUUUUUUUUACUGAAGAUAGGGGAGAAUGUAGCAUUUAUUGCUACCCCGUAAGUGUUUUAUUUGAUGCGCCUAUGUAUCUUUAUAACUCCCUAACGCUUCGACGUGUCGGCGCAGGCCGAACGACCUACGAGACGGUAGAGAGAAGCGAAACUCGUAAUAGUAAAAUCAGUUGGUUAAAGAACAUCCGCUCUGAUACGUGAGCUGUUGCUAUUUGUAGACGAACUCUGGGAAAAUAAUGGACUGAAAUUAAAUAUAUUACAUACCACCAGUAAACUAAACAUCAGGAAACUCAACAGACAAUCUCCAAAGUAACAAAAAAAACAAGAAUUCAAGAAAUUAUAACAUAAAUUAUACCACGUGGUCACGUAUCAGAGAUCCCAGGGUUCGUUUUACAUUCUACAUCAUAUUUCCAUUCCACCCAUAAUAUGGAUACUUAGCUGGAUUUUUUUAUGGUUAAAUAUACCUUAUAUAACUAAUUUGGAUACUUAGUUGGAUUUUUUUUUAUGGAUAAAUAAAUGGAUAAACAUACUUUAUAUAACUAAUAUUAGGACAUCAUAAACCAUUACCGACCCGUUUCACCAAAUACAUCCACAGAACCUCUCAACUUCAGACCGCUCCACACAGAUGUUAUAGUGCCCAGAGAUUUCCCAAAUCUAGUGGACCUUCCUAUGAAUAUACCCAGGAGUUGCAAAAGAUAA
Molecule: long non-coding RNA, 2402 nt
Filed under: Diabrotica virgifera virgifera (western corn rootworm)
Lineage: Eukaryota; Metazoa; Arthropoda; Insecta; Coleoptera; Chrysomelidae
Description: uncharacterized LOC126890755
Source: RNAcentral